RNAcentral lists this long non-coding RNA (1511 nucleotides) under Marmota monax (woodchuck). The record is from RNAcentral. Lineage: Eukaryota; Metazoa; Chordata; Mammalia; Rodentia; Sciuridae.
UUUUUUUGAAAAAGAAUAUCAAUAUAUAAUUGCUGUUAAAGAAAGACAGAGAUAGAAUAUGGCACCUUCUAUUUCUUUGUUAAAUUGCUUGUUUGCACUUUCUCUUACUAAUUUAUAAGAUACAUGUUCUAUUAUAAUCCAAACUAAGACAACUAAAAGAGAAAGAUAAAAGUCUAUGGGAUUAUAAUUAAGGAACCCAUGAGGUGUUGUUGAGUAUUCUAGAUACUUAUUCUUUAAAAAUGCUGAAGAAUUCAUUUUUUAAAAUAACAAAGCAUGAAUUAACAAAAAUGUGAUCUUAUUUCCAUGUUCAUGUUAUGAAUUAUUUCAUCUUACAUAUUUAAAAGGAGAAUGAAAUAACUUUAAUACACAAACUAUGGUCGCAAAGUCUCAUCUCUCUUGUAGUUGAUUGAUUGUUUUUUUCCACUUCCAUUACCAACAAUGACUAUCCAAAAAAAGAAUCAGUCUUUGGGACUCUGAAAAAGGAUUUUUGUUUGUUUUUGUUACCAAAGAGUGGGAAAAAAAGAAUGUGUGUAUAUAAGUGGCAGAUACUCAAGUUGAACUUGAGAUCUUAGGUGAAAUUUACAGUAAGCAUUUACAAUAUAGGGACAAGUAGGAAAAAUAUUUUGUGAGGAAAAAGCACAAACUUUUAUAUUGCUGAAAAUUUACGUAGAGUUUUUCUGAGAAGAUUGGGCUUAUAAGGAAAAGUCUGGGUAAAAUUUCAGGAUUUAAGAGAAUACCAAUAAAGUGAAGACUGACAUUAACCAGACCUGGCUAUAAAUACCACACAAAGAGACCAAACACGUCCUCCCCUGACAGGUCUGGCCACCUCCCCUUCAGAACAAACCUAUACCAAACAACAGGAGAAUGAACCAUUGUUCUUUUAGGAUCAACGAAACUUAAUAUGCUAGUUAAAGAACUUUUGCUUUAGGAUGAUUUCGAUGUGUGUAUUACCUGAUUACCAUGUUAAGUAUAGUUAAACCCUGCAGCGUACCAGCAGAGCCAAGAAUCUGCACAUGUCAUCAUUUAAUCAUCUCUAUUAUCUCCCUGUCUUAUCAGUCAAAGUAAUAUGACUUCUUUCUUCUCAACAUCAUUUUGAUGUGAAGGAGGAAGUCACUUUUAUGUUGCUGAAAAACCUCUAAUUACCUUUAUUGAGAAAAGCGAAAAUACUAACGUGAAAUAAACAUGCUUCUUUUUCUGUUCUAUCUUAUUUGCUUGGCAAAUACUAGUGCACAGACCUUACUUCUGGUUGAUAGCACUGAUUUACAUGUGUUUAUUCUCCUUUUCAAUCUUCAAAAUGUACAUGUAUUCUAAUAGGAAUAUCAUGUCCUGUAAUUGUUAUAGACUAAUUACAUGUUACUGAAUAGUUAAAUAUUUUUAUUAUUUAUUGUUCAAUAUUCCAAAAAUGAUCUUAAAGGUAUGACUUCUGAUACUUAAAGAAAAUCUUUUAGAGUAUUAUCUGUAAGGACCAAAAUAAAUAUGAGUACUAUAUGAAGGCAAUAUUGUAACACAAU